GUUCAAUGAAUUUGGGGUCGAUGGAGGGCCUGCAGUGAAGGAGUUGAUACCAAAGCUUGAUCUUGCUAAGAAACACAUAUCUUCACAGCUCCAUGUGGUUUGUCGGAUAUCGAAGUUAAACAAUUAGUUUCGGCUGCUAUUGCUUUGAAAAGACUCGGUGAUAUUCUAUUUGUAUUUGGCCAUGGCUUUGGAGCCUUCUUCCUGUUUGUGUAUUUGUUGGUUAACACUCCUUUUCUCUAUGACUUCUACGACUAUCGACCUGAAGA
Molecule: long non-coding RNA, 266 nt
Organism: Hibiscus syriacus
Lineage: Eukaryota; Viridiplantae; Streptophyta; Magnoliopsida; Malvales; Malvaceae
Exons: 3
Source: RefSeq, a predicted model, not a curated record